This 22-nucleotide non-coding RNA is filed under the name Mus musculus (house mouse). The record is from RNAcentral. Lineage: Eukaryota; Metazoa; Chordata; Mammalia; Rodentia; Muridae.
UGCUGGAUGUAGAUGGGGGGAA